Molecule: ribosomal RNA, 257 nt
Filed under: uncultured prokaryote
Description: partial 16S ribosomal RNA
Rfam family: Bacterial small subunit ribosomal RNA
Source: RNAcentral
UACGGAGGAUGCAAGCGUUAUCCGGAUUUAUUGGGUUUAAAGGGUGCGUAGGCGGCUUUUUAAGUCAGCGGUGAAAUUUUGCAGCUUAACUGUAACAGUGCCGUUGAUACUGGGGAGCUAGGAUUUGGUUGCUGUGGGUGGAAUGUGUGGUGUAGCGGUGAAAUGCUUAGAGAUCACACAGAACACCGAUUGCGAAGGCAUCUCACGAAUCCGCAAUUGACGCUGAUGCACGAAAGCGUGGGGAUCAAACAGGAUUA